This 253-nucleotide ribosomal RNA is filed under the name uncultured bacterium. Its description in RNAcentral is "partial 16S ribosomal RNA". It matches the Rfam family "Bacterial small subunit ribosomal RNA", at positions 524 to 776 of the family's 1533-position model. The record is from RNAcentral.
UACGGAGGGUGCGAGCGUUGUCCGGAAUCACUGGGCGUAAAGGGCGCGUAGGCGGCCUGAUAAGUAGGGGGUGAAAUCCUGCGGCUUAACCGCAGGGCUGCCUUCUAAACUGUCAGGCUGGAGCACAGUAGAGGCAGGUGGAAUUCCCGGUGUAGCGGUGGAAUGCGUAGAGAUCGGGAAGAACAUCAGUGGCGAAGGCGGCCUGCUGGGCUGUUGCUGACGCUGAGGCGCGACAGCGUGGGGAGCAAACAGG